UACGUAGGGGGCGAGCGUUGUCCGGAUUCAUUGGGCGUAAAGCGCGCGUAGGCGGCCACGCAAGUCGGGUGUGAAAUCCCGGAGCUCAACUCCGGAACUGCACUCGAAACUGCGCGGCUUGAGGUAGGUAGGGGAGAUCGGAAUUCCUGGUGUAGCGGUGGAAUGCGCAGAUAUCAGGAGGAACACCGGUGGCGAAGGCGGAUCUCUGGGCCGUAACUGACGCUGAGGAGCGAAAGCAUGGGGAGCGAACAGG
This 253-nucleotide ribosomal RNA is filed under the name uncultured bacterium. RNAcentral's name for it is "partial 16S ribosomal RNA". It matches the Rfam family "Bacterial small subunit ribosomal RNA", at positions 524 to 776 of the family's 1533-position model. The record is from RNAcentral.